RNAcentral lists this ribosomal RNA (497 nucleotides) under uncultured bacterium. Its description in RNAcentral is "partial 16S ribosomal RNA". It matches the Rfam family "Bacterial small subunit ribosomal RNA", at positions 28 to 507 of the family's 1533-position model. The record is from RNAcentral.
GAUGAACGCUGGCGGCGUGCCUAAUACAUGCAAGUCGAGCGAACGGACGAGAAGCUUGCUUCUCUGAUGUUAGCGGCGGGCGGGUGAGUAACACGUGGAUAACCUACCUAUAAGACUGGGAUAACUUCGGGAAACCGGAGCUAAUACCGGAUAAUAUUUUGAACCGCAUGGUUCAAAAGUUAAAGACGGUCUUGCUGUCACUUAUAGAUGGAUCCGCGCUGCAUUAGCUAGUUGGUAAGGUAACGGCUUACCAAGGCAACGAUGCAUAGCCGACCUGAGAGGGUGAUCGGCCACACUGGAACUGAGACACGGUACAGACUCCUACGGGAGGCAGCAGUAGGGAAUCUUCCGCAAUGGGCGAAAGCCUGACGGAGCAACGCCGCGUGAGUGAUGAAGGUCUUCGGAUCGUAAAACUCUGUUAUUAGGGAAGAACAUAUGUGUAAGUAACUGUGCACAUCUUGACGGUACCUAAUCAGAAAGCCACGGCUAACUACGUG